This is a long non-coding RNA of Canis lupus familiaris (dog), 770 nucleotides long. RefSeq lists it as uncharacterized. The record is from RefSeq and is a predicted model, not a curated record. The transcript has 2 exons. Lineage: Eukaryota; Metazoa; Chordata; Mammalia; Carnivora; Canidae.
CUGCUACAGCCAAAGGAGAAAUGAACUCAUUCUGACCUACACAGCAGAGCUCAACAGAGAGAUUCCUUCUACCACCUUGGGAAGAAUGUCCCAUUGUGGCAUCACAGUUACCAUGGUUUCACCAAGCAAACGUCUAGAUAUGGAGACCUAGGAGGAGCCGGGAUGAAAAGCCUGCCUAUUUCUUAAACUUAGCAGGACUCUUCUGGAAGCCUGGCUUUCCCUGGGCUUGGCCAAGAAUACAUCCCUUUUGCUAGAUCCCAAAGCCCGGUCCAUGCAGCUGUGGUCUGUCUACCUCCUCAGCACCCACUCUGUGCUUUCAUGACUUUGUCAGACUGGAUGGUAAAAAGCCCACUACUAAGCUGGAUUUGUUUUUUCCAAUCCCCAUGAGCAUUCUGAUCUGGAGCUCAGUUUUCCUUAGCCUUUCAACUUGCAGGUCCAAGCCAAGCCACCAGACUGGCUCUGCCAAGCCAUGGGGCCAGAUGGGAUCUGCCCUCCUGCCACUGUUAGCAGCUUUAGUUUUAGCACAAAUGCCAGGACUCGAGAGAACUGUUGACAACUUAGUGGUAAGAUGUAACUCCAUGGAAGCAGAGGGCUCACAGGCUGCUGGCUCAGUCGCAUGAAAGAUAUUUAUUGGACAGAUCUUCAGUGUGACCUCCGAUGUACAUGCUGGAACUGUUUCUGAGAGCUCUCUCCUGCUACGCUGGUCAUUUUGCCUAUAUCCCUGUGCCAAGUCACACAAUCUUAAGUAUUAAAGCUUUGCAAAGUUUUAA